Molecule: non-coding RNA, 140 nt
Submitted as: unclassified sequences
Source: Rfam
GAAUUAAUUAAGGGGCAACCCUUAACUGACCAGCUGGAGAAAAACCGCAAGGAACAAAUUCAGAGGGCAGAAAGUUUCGCGGGGGAUCGCUGAACGCGCGAAACGGGUGGCAUGGCGAUAGCGAGUCAACGACGUGCCUA